Molecule: long non-coding RNA, 1287 nt
Filed under: Homo sapiens (human)
Lineage: Eukaryota; Metazoa; Chordata; Mammalia; Primates; Hominidae
Description: non-protein coding lnc-CHMP2B-4:1
Source: RNAcentral
ACGUGUGCAUGUGUCUUUAUAGCAGCAUGAUUUAUAGUCCUUUGGGUAUAUUCUUUAUUAAGGCCUUUAAUAGGAAGAACUAAUAAUUGCCAUAAUUUUUCUAUAAUUAUAGGACUAAAUAAUAAUUUGAGAUAUCUAUAACAACACUAAUGUAAUACAAGAUAUCUGUGACUUCUAUUGGUUGGUUUAUUAGUCUGUUCUCAUGCUGCUAAUAAAGACAUACCCGAGACUGGAUAAUUUAUAAAGAAAAAAACUGUGGAAAUUUCUCUAGACCCCUCUCCCUACUUACCUUCCUGCUUAAAAGCAAACUCAAAAGGCAAAUUCACUUUUUCAACUACAAAUCUUGUUCUCAGUGUCUGUAACUUGCUGUGAGAGCAUUCCUUUUCAAACAGCUGUUUCAAAGGAGACGUAGGAUAUGAUUAAAUAUUUUCUCUAAUAUGGGUUCAUUAAUAAUUUCUUCAAGAUUAUUUUCAUUCCAUAAAAGUGACAGAAUUUUACUUCUUAUUUUACAACUAUACGUAUAUGUGGAUAACAAUAGAGACCUAGAUAUAGGUAUAUUAUUUAUCUAUACACACUUGGGUAACUUUCACUGAAAUUAAGUCUAUUAUUACUAUCAGCGCCUAUGAAAAAUACAUAAACGGUAAUAAAUAAAUAAUUCCUGAGAAUUGUUCUGGGGAUUUUUUGUGGUCAGCUCUUUAUGUGAUUCACUUUGUGGCUAUAAAUAGUUUUCUCAAAUUGCCAUUUGUUUUAUUUUUAGUCUUAACAUCUAACUGCUAAACUAUGGCAACUCCUUUUUCCCCUUGUAGUUGAAUAGAAGAAAAAUUGAUAUCGAAAGGUGGGUGCUGCUGAACUUUUUUUGACUAAAAUUUUUCCUGUUUCAGAUUUCACUUUUAAUAUUAAUCUAUUUUUCAAAAGCAGAUGCUGAUAAUUCCCCCACAUUGUGCCAUGACUUUAUGUUAUGGAGACAGCCUAAUUAGGGAUAAAAUUAAAUCUAAUAUAAUUUUACUUGAAUAAGCUCAAAUAAAAUUGACCUCUGAAGAAAGGAAUGAAGCUAUAAAUUAAACUAUUGAAUCUCACCAAAUUAUUAACAAAAAAGACACUUGAUUGGUGGGCUAAUACAUUUUUCUGAUAUAAAUGAAGACUAAAGAUGUGGUUUAUUCAAUGAGAUAGUUGUCGUUAUAAAAAAAUUUGUGUGUUCAAAGUUUGUUCAAAAAUGGUAAAAAAAAUACUAUUCUAGUGAGGAUUGGGGCUUUUAUCUUAUUUAGUACUAUGACAAUCUAUCACCCU